This is a long non-coding RNA of Sapajus apella (tufted capuchin), 199 nucleotides long. RefSeq lists it as uncharacterized. The record is from RefSeq and is a predicted model, not a curated record. Lineage: Eukaryota; Metazoa; Chordata; Mammalia; Primates; Cebidae. The transcript has 3 exons.
GCGGAAUUCCAUAGGUGGAGGUUGAAGAAAGUGGUUCUAGGUGGAGACUAGAGAGCAAAGAGGUUUUUAAUUUUUUAAUCCAACGAUUAGAUUUCUGAAUUAAAACGACCUGAUAUGCUUUGGAUGUUUGUCCCCUCGAAAUCUCAUGUUGAAAUGUGGUCCCCAGUGUUAAAGGUGGGGUCUAGUGGGAAAUAUUUGG